Long non-coding RNA from Cygnus olor (mute swan), 1210 nucleotides. RefSeq lists it as uncharacterized. NCBI's taxonomy places the organism in Eukaryota, Metazoa, Chordata, Aves, Anseriformes, Anatidae. The transcript has 4 exons. The record is from RefSeq and is a predicted model, not a curated record.
GGAUGUGAAAGGUCACUAUUUUACUUUAGGAUGGUCUUGAAUAGUAAUGACUCUUCCCAAUAAUGUUGGCUUCUGGAGGAUGAACUUGAGGGAUCUACUGUGGGAUGAGAUGGUCCAGCCUAAAGUCACGUGCAAAGCAGAAGGUUGGGUGAAGUCCAGAAAAAUGCAAUUUGUUGGAACCUUGAUAACAUUGGGAAUACUUGAUUUAGAAAACACUGUGAAACUUUACAUGCAAGCUUCUUAAAGACUUUUGGAUUUGAUGCCAGCAUCUGCCACUGAUUGUUCUGUGUGGAGGACAGAGGCCCUGGAAUUGUUCAGGCAGUCCCUUACCAUGGUACAGAAAGCAGAGGGAGGUCUGGGCUUUGGGCUGUCCUGAUUCAUCCUGAGGAAAACCUGGCACAGAAGAGAGUCCUCUUACAGAAAACUGCCUGCUGCCACAAGUGGGGAGCCUAGCAAUAACAGAGGCUUCUAAAACUCAAUUCUGAUAAGAUCACUUGCAGGAAAACAUACUUUUCUUGGCUUCAGUGCAAGAUUCAUGUUAGAACCUUGUAAUCUGAAGUUUAGAAAUCAAUAGGUAUUUUAGAAGAAAUAAUACAGCCUUCCUUAGAGACAACUGUAUCUAUAUAUUGGUGUUGACACUCCUACUAUUUCGUGCUUAAACCAGAAUGCUACAGUGUUUUCUACUAUACUCUAAGGAGACUUACACUGUGUUUACUGUAUUUAUAAUUCUUUUUUUCUGGACUGUACUUCUAAAAUGUUGUUCUAGAUUAGCUGGUUCCUACAGCCUCAAUAUUAUGUGUUGUCAGUUGCCAAUGAGAUGCAUUUCCUGGACAGUAGCAGUUUUAGCUGAUAAGUAAUAUAGGCUGUAUUUGCAAGAUGUCCUAAACCACUACUGUCCAAACAACAUACCCACAUCAAAAUUUUUAUUUUAGACUGUUUAGUUAGUUGCAAACUGUAAUACACUAAGUUUAUGAUGUUACUUUCUUAGGUCCUUGUGCUAGUGCUCUUCAGUAUGGGGUUUCAGUGAUGCGGGUCAGUAAGCACACCACUGUUUCAUUGGGACUGAGUACUUGUGAGGUGCCAUACAAAAAAUGUUCAGCUACGGACGCGCUGAAAUCUAAGGCUGUAGUUAACAGUGUACUGCAUGUUCAGCCAUGGAGGACACUCAUUCCCUGCAAUUUUCAGCUAGGAAAAGACAAAGUAUUUCAAA